GCAGCGACUAUGCAGGCAGCGUGCGCGAGGUUGUCGCGCGCAAGGCGAAGUCCGCGCCGGAUCUGUUCGACGCGGUGGCCGCUGCGC
Molecule: transfer RNA, 87 nt
Filed under: Burkholderia ubonensis
Lineage: Bacteria; Pseudomonadati; Pseudomonadota; Betaproteobacteria; Burkholderiales; Burkholderiaceae
Description: tRNA-Asn
Source: RNAcentral